Molecule: non-coding RNA, 460 nt
Organism: Pelobates cultripes (western spadefoot toad)
Lineage: Eukaryota; Metazoa; Chordata; Amphibia; Anura; Pelobatidae
Source: the annotation of a GenBank genome assembly
GCUGUAAUCCCAAAAAUGUCAUCAGGUUCCUUACAACGUGGAAGGUGAGUGUUGGCUGAACCUUGCAGAAAAAGUUAUAUUUUGCAGAGCGCUCCAAAGGUUUUCAGUGCUGUCUAGGAGUUCUUCUAGAACAGGCUACUUGUAAACUAUGUUCUUCAGUCCGGAAAGUAAUCAUAUGAAGUCAGGUUGUAGAGCCUUCAUGGUGUUCUUAAUCUAUUCCUCACACCUUCACCUGCUAUUGCAUUCCAAAAUUUUUAUACAAUAUAUGUUGGUACACAGAAGGAUAACAUUAUUAUAAAAUGUCCAAUGUCUUUUAAUAUUAGUCUUCUUAAAUGUCUUUUUUUUAGUAACUACUUUUCUUAGAAUCUACUUUUCAUAUCAGUAAUUCUACUGUUGUAAUGAAGAGGUAAUAUGACCUUUUCAGCACACUUAAAUAAUAUAUAUAUAAUAUAUAUAUAUA